RNAcentral lists this ribosomal RNA (941 nucleotides) under uncultured Bacteroidota bacterium. Its description in RNAcentral is "bacterial SSU rRNA". It matches the Rfam family "Bacterial small subunit ribosomal RNA", at positions 1 to 862 of the family's 1533-position model. The record is from RNAcentral. Lineage: Bacteria; Pseudomonadati; Bacteroidota.
UACUCAAGCUAUGCAUCCCAACGCGUUGGGAGCUUUCCCAUAUGGUCGACCUGCAGGCGGCCCGCGAAUUCACUAGUGAUUAGAGUUUGAUCAUGGCUCAGGAUGAACGCUAGCGGCAGGCCUAACACAUGCAAGUCGAGGGGUAACAGAGAGAAGCUUGCUUUUCUGCUGACGACCGGCGCACGGGUGCGUAACGCGUAUACAAUCUGCCUUAUACAGAGGGAUAGCCUUUAGAAAUGAAGAUUAAUACCUUAUAGUCUAUUUUUAUAGCAUUAUAUAAAUAGUAAAGCUUCGGUGGUAUAAGAUGAGUAUGCGUCCUAUUAGUUAGUUGGUAAGGUAACGGCUUACCAAGACAACGAUAGGUAGGGGCCCUGAGAGGGGGAUCCCCCACACUGGUACUGAGACACGGACCAGACUCCUACGGGAGGCAGCAGUGAGGAAUAUUGGACAAUGGAGGCAACUCUGAUCCAGCCAUGCCGCGUGCAGGAAGACGGCCCUAUGGGUUGUAAACUGCUUUUAUAUAGGAAGAAACCUUUUCACGUGUGAGAAGCUGACGGUACUAUAAGAAUAAGGACCGGCUAACUCCGUGCCAGCAGCCGCGGUAAUACGGAGGGUCCGAGCGUUAUCCGGAAUCAUUGGGUUUAAAGGGUCCGUAGGCGGGAAUCUAAGUCAGUGGUGAAAUCUUGCAGCUCAACUGUAAAAUUGCCAUUGAUACUGGAUUUCUUGAAUUAGUGUGAAGUGGUUAGAAUGUGUAGUGUAGCGGUGAAAUGCAUAGAUAUUACACAGAAUACCAAUUGCGAAGGCAGAUCACUAACACUAUAUUGACGCUGAGGGACGAAAGCGUGGGGAGCGAACAGGAUUAGAUACCCUGGUAGUCCACGCCGUAAACGAGGGAUACUAGCUGUUCGAUCUUCGGAUUGAGUGGCUAAGCGAAAGUGAUA